Long non-coding RNA from Mustela erminea (ermine), 311 nucleotides. RefSeq lists it as uncharacterized. The transcript has 2 exons. NCBI's taxonomy places the organism in Eukaryota, Metazoa, Chordata, Mammalia, Carnivora, Mustelidae. The record is from RefSeq and is a predicted model, not a curated record.
UUAUUUUCUCCAAUAGUUUGGGAGACAGACUUCUAGAACGGAGUUCACAUUUAAUACCAAUAACCUCAGGAAAUAUCUGUCCCCUGAGAUUCCCAGAAACGGAACUGCCGGACGAGCGUCCUCAGGUUCAUUCCCAGGGAAACUGGCUGAUGGGGAAUUAAUUAAUGGGUCCAAUAAGGAGGCUGCCAGCAUUGUCCCACCACAAUCUGAGCUCUGGCCUCAUUUGCAUGUCUCCUUUAUUCUAAACAAUAGCACUGCUGAGAUUUCAGCAUGAAAUUGUUAGCUCAUUAAAGAGGACACAAUCGUAUCCA